UGGGGAAUAUUGGACAAUGGGCGAAAGCCUGAUCCAGCAAUGCCGCGUGUGUGAAGAAGGUCUUCGGAUUGUAAAGCACUUUCGACGGGGACGAUGAUGACGGUACCCGUAGAAGAAGCCCCGGCUAACUUCGUGCCAGCAGCCGCGGUAAUACGAAGGGGGCUAGCGUUGCUCGGAAUGACUGGGCGUAAAGGGCGCGUAGGCGGUUGUUACAGUCAGAUGUGAAAUCCCCGGGCUUAACCUGGGAACUGCAUUUGAUACGUGACGACUAGAGUUCGAGAGAGGGUUGUGGAAUUCCCAGUGUAGAGGUGAAAUUCGUAGAUAUUGGGAAGAACACCGGUGGCGAAGGCGGCAACCUGGCUCGAUACUGACGCUGAGGCGCGAAAGCGUGGGGAGCAAACAGG
Molecule: ribosomal RNA, 404 nt
Filed under: uncultured bacterium
Lineage: Bacteria
Also listed under: 1 other name
Description: partial 16S ribosomal RNA
Rfam family: Bacterial small subunit ribosomal RNA
Source: RNAcentral